RNAcentral lists this long non-coding RNA (425 nucleotides) under Rattus norvegicus (Norway rat). RNAcentral's name for it is "long non-coding RNA NONRATT012539". The record is from RNAcentral. Lineage: Eukaryota; Metazoa; Chordata; Mammalia; Rodentia; Muridae.
GGACGGCAAGAAGCGCAAGCGCAGCCGCAAGGAGAGCUACUCGGUGUACGUGUACAAGGUGCUGAAGCAAGUGCACCCGGACACGGGCAUCUCUUCUAAGGCCAUGGGCAUCAUGAACUCGUUCGUGAACGACAUCUUCGAGCGCAUCGCGGGCGAGGCGUCGCGUCUAGCGCAUUACAACAAGCGCUCGACCAUCACGUCCCGGGAGAUCCAGACGGCCGUGCGCCUGCUGCUGCCCGGGGAGCUGGCCAAGCACGCUGUGUCCGAGGGCACCAAGGCGGUCACCAAGUACACCAGCUCCAAGGAUGUCUGGCAAGUGUAUUGUCCUGGCCUGAUGUUAAUUCAGCAAAUCUUCAUUUCCCCCUUUUCUGUUUAACGGUACUUUGUAAUAUAAUGUUGAAUAAAGACAAUCGAUGUUGAAUUAC